This 498-nucleotide ribosomal RNA is filed under the name Triticum aestivum (bread wheat). RNAcentral describes it as "partial small subunit ribosomal RNA". Lineage: Eukaryota; Viridiplantae; Streptophyta; Magnoliopsida; Poales; Poaceae. The record is from RNAcentral.
AUGACCUUCCCCCGUAGCGGCGAUGGAUGGAGCAGCUCAACAAUGGCGCACUUCUUGCCGGUGUCGUUGUUGGCGCAGGGCCACACCAUCCCCAUGACUGACAUGGUGCCCCUGCUGCCAGAGCAUGGGGCGCAGGUCAGCUCCAUCACCACGCCGGUGAACGUCUCCAGCUUGGCAGGAUUUGCAGCCGACGUGAAGGCAGUGGGCCUGGCGAUUCAGCUCGUGGAGCUCCGGUUCCCGACCGCUGAGUUCGGCCUAUCGGACGGGUGCGAGAACCUCGACAUGAUCCAUGCCACGGACCUGCUUUCGAAAUUCAUGAAGGCCAUUGACGCACUUCGGGAGCCGCUCAUGGCCCACCUUCGUGAGCAGCAGCGCUUGCGUCAGAGCUGCAUCAUAUCUGACAUGAUAAACUGGUGGACAGGUGACAUCGCAAGGGAGCUCGGCAUCCCGAGGCUCGCCUAUGUUGGCUUUUGUGGCUUCUCAUCCCUCAUCAGGUAA